CAAGACCCGGAGCCCGGACGAUGCCAACUACAGUACAUCACAAAGUGACGGUAACCUCUUGAGUAGAUGACGACGAGAGAGAUCAUUCAUCAAGACAAUGAAAUGAGUAGCCUAUUGCUGUUCCUGUAGAACUUCUCUGCCGGUGCCAGAGCAUUCACAGAAAAAGCGACCAAGGGUUUCCUGGUAGCUGGGGACGAGGAUGGUGAUGGCAAGAUUGGAGUUGACGCGUUUCUUGCCCUUGUAAAGGCAUAAUUGUCCAUUGACCAAGAUCAACCGCUUUUCACAGAACCAGAACUCCUAGCAAGAAUCAUUAACUUUCAGCUAAAUUCAUAUUUUUAUUUAUCAACUGCCUGCGGACUAUAUUUCUCAACAUGGAGCACAAUGUCCUUGUAGUGUAUUGUUAAUGUUAUUUGGAUGUGUUAUAA
RNAcentral lists this long non-coding RNA (425 nucleotides) under Salmo salar (Atlantic salmon). RNAcentral describes it as "lncRNA (ENSSSAG00000092699.1)". The record is from RNAcentral. Lineage: Eukaryota; Metazoa; Chordata; Actinopteri; Salmoniformes; Salmonidae.